RNAcentral lists this long non-coding RNA (698 nucleotides) under Gopherus agassizii (Agassiz's desert tortoise). RNAcentral's name for it is "lncRNA (ENSGAGG00000007545.1)". The record is from RNAcentral. Lineage: Eukaryota; Metazoa; Chordata; Testudines; Testudinidae.
UGGACUCACCACACCUACUAUACAAGGACCCACUUCACCUAAGAUUCUCUGACAAGGACCCUAAAGGAGUUUAGAAGCCAAAUGACUGGGAUCAUCAACUCCAGUGACAGAGCUGCAUGUCUUUUAGCAGUGUUGCAGAAAUGAGCAUGGAGAGGGAAUAGGAAAGGGGAGAGGUGUCUUUGUGGCAACGAGUGACUCUUCUCUAGUUAUCUCCUGGUUGCUGGGUUUUCCCCCCUGCACUUUCUUUUGCAGUUGAAAGGAAGAUGAUUGUUUGAAAAUUAUUAAUAAAUCCUCCUUUUUUCUUCUUCUUCUCUUUUUUACCCUUCCUCCCACCCCCCUUGAUGUGGCCUCUUGUUUAGCUUGUGGCGUGACCAUGAUGAAGAAAUUUUUCUGGGAGCCUGGCAGUGUGAUCUUUUUAUGUAAUGAGUCAGGAUUUUGCCAAGGGAAGAAGCAAGGUUUGAGGAUUGAGUGUCUGUCUCCUUUCAAGAAGAAAACUGACAGGCGAGAUGCACCUUUUUCCCAGGAUCCUUUUUUCCCCUCCCCACCUCACAGGAAUGACAAGUGGCAUUUUUGAAAAUUUUCGCUGAAGGAUCUUAACCAAAGAAAAAAGUACUGUAAAGGUAAAGAAAUUAAAAAUUUAUAAGUUCUUAAUUGUAGAUAUAUGACUUGCAGUAGUUAAUAAGAUUACAAACAAACAG